Molecule: long non-coding RNA, 422 nt
Organism: Mytilus californianus (California mussel)
Lineage: Eukaryota; Metazoa; Mollusca; Bivalvia; Mytilida; Mytilidae
Exons: 5
Source: RefSeq, a predicted model, not a curated record
CUCAUAUAAUGUUAAUCAUGGUUACUUUGGUUUAGGUCUAUAGUAUCUCAUAUAAUGUUAAUCAUGGUUACUUUGGUAUAGGUCUAUAGUAUCUCAUAUAAUGUUAAUCAUGGUUACUUUGGUAUAGGUCUAUAGUAUCUCAUACAGUGUUAAUCAUGGUUACUUUGGUAUAGGUCUAUAGUAUCUCAUAUAGUGUUAAUCAUGGUUACUUUGGUAUAGAUCUAUAGUAUCUCAUAUAGUGUUAAUCAUGGUUACUUUGGUAUAGGUCUAUAGUAUCUCAUAUAAUGUUAAUCAUGGUUACUUUGGUAUAGGUCUAUAGUAUCUCAUAUAAUGUUAAUCAUGGUUACUUUGGUAUAGGUCUAUAGUAUCUCAUAUAGUGUUAAUCAUGGUUACUUUGGUAUAGGUCUAUAGUAUCUCAUAUA